This 113-nucleotide transfer RNA is filed under the name Sphaerobolus stellatus SS14. It matches the Rfam family "tRNA". Rfam says of the family: Transfer RNA (tRNA) molecules are approximately 80 nucleotides in length. The record is from Rfam by way of RNAcentral. Lineage: Eukaryota; Fungi; Basidiomycota; Agaricomycetes; Geastrales; Sphaerobolaceae.
GCCUUGCUAGCUCAAUCGGUAGAGCGUGAGACCUUUACGAUUAGUCCUCACAUGUAGACAACAUUGUUAUGUAAUAAAUCUCAAGGUUGCGGGUUCGACCCCCGUGUGAGGCU